This 208-nucleotide long non-coding RNA is filed under the name Fukomys damarensis (Damara mole-rat). Its description in RNAcentral is "lncRNA (ENSFDAG00000026921.1)". The record is from RNAcentral. Lineage: Eukaryota; Metazoa; Chordata; Mammalia; Rodentia; Bathyergidae.
GGUGGAUUCAUUGCCAACACCUGAACUUUCAGAGGGAUCAUCAAGACUAUAUGAAAAAUUAAUCGUGAAGGUCACAAGCCAAAGAUUCAGCGAUUGGAGCACUGAGGAAAGUGGAGAGUUUGAAGCUAUUUAUUGUUUAACGCUUCGUGUUUCAUAAACUCUGGACCCCUGCAUACAUUUUAGGGCCUUCACAAGGUACCCCCGGCCG